Molecule: ribosomal RNA, 2529 nt
Filed under: Triticum aestivum (bread wheat)
Lineage: Eukaryota; Viridiplantae; Streptophyta; Magnoliopsida; Poales; Poaceae
Description: partial small subunit ribosomal RNA
Source: RNAcentral
AUGCCUCCCCUCUACAUACUACUCCGGCUUCUCCUCUUGUACACUCCUCUUUGGUGCUUCUCUGCAGCUGCAUAUGAAGACUCUCUCACGGCAGGCCAAGCGCUCGCCGUCGGUGGCAAGCUCGUCUCAAGAAACGGCAAGUUCGCCCUCGGCUUCUUCCAGCCAGCAGCAAGCAACAUCAGUAAGUCGCCGUACAAUGCCACCUCCCCCAGCUCCAGCUGGUACCUUGGCAUAUGGUUCAACAAGAUCCCAGUUUUCACUAUCGUGUGGGUUGCUAAUAGGGAUCAGCCCAUCACCAACCCUAGUGUCAACCUAACACAGCUCAAGAUAUCAAGCGAUGGCAAUCUUGUCAUCGUAAACCAUGCUGCCAAAACUGAAUCCGUUGUUUGGUCCACUCACAUUGUCAAUAGGAAAACCAGUAGCAUAAACACCACCACCUCUAGCUCCAUUGUUCUCUUGAACAGUGGAAACCUUGCCCUACUCGUAAAUAGCCAAGAGAUGUUGUGGCAGAGCUUCGACUACCCAACAGAUAUCGGGCUUCCUGGCGCCAAGUUGGGCCGCAACAAGGUCACUGGUUUCAGUCACCAGUACAUAUCAAAAAAGAGUCUCAUUGAUCCGGGUUUUGGCUCGUACAUCAUUGAACUAAAAGACACCAGCGGGAUUGUCCUCAUGCGCCGCAACAACCCCCUGGUAAAGUAUCUGACUUAUGCAACCACAGGAUCAUCAUCUUUGAUACCAACACUCAAGUCAUUACUAGAUUUGAAUCCUCGGACCAAAGGUUUGAUUAAUCCAAUAUAUGUCGAUAACAACCAAGAGGAGUACUACACAUACACUUUACUGGAUGAAUCAUCAACUUCCAUGUUUGUCUUGCUAGACAUCUCUGGUCAGGUCAAGCUGAAUAUUUGGUCACAAGCCAACCAGUCUUGGCAAACCAUAUAUUCCGAGCCUGCAGAUCCUUGCAGUCCGCCUGCUACAUGCGGACCUUUCACGGUCUGCAAUGGCAUUGCACAUCCAUCCUGUGACUGUAUGGAGAGCUUCUCCCAUAAGUCACCGCAGGAUUGGGAGUUUGAGGAUCGAACAGGAGGAUGCAUCAGAAACACACCGUUACAUUGCAGCACUAGUGGUAACAACAAAAACAUGACAAGUUCAUCAGACAUGUUCCACCCCAUUGCUCAAGUUCAAUUGCCCUACAACCCGCAAAUAAUAGAUGUUGCUACCACUCAGAGCAAAUGUGAAGAAGCUUGUCUCGGUUCCUGCUCCUGCACUGCUUAUUCCUAUAGCAAUAGCAGAUGCUCUGUCUGGCACGGGGAAUUGUUUAGUGUAAAUCUGAAUGAUGGCAUUGAUAAUAAUUCUGAAGAUGUUCUUUACCUUCGCCUUGCCGCCAAAGAUUUGAUGCCAAGUUCCAGAAAAAAUAAAAGAAAACCAAAAGUCGGAGUUGUUACUGCUGCAAGUAUUAUUGGUUUUGGGUUACUGAUGCUCAUGCUGUUGUUACUGAUUUGGAGGAACAAAUUCAAGUGGUGUGGUUUGCCUUUAUACGGCAAUCAAGGUAGUGCUGGUGGAAUUAUAGCCUUCAGAUACACUGACUUAGUUAGUGCCACUAAAAACUUCUCAGAAAAGCUUGGAGGUGGUGGUUUUGGUUCUGUAUACAAGGGAAUGUUAAGUGACUCAACGAUUACUAUAGCAGUGAAAAAGCUUGAUGGUGACCGCCAAGGAGAGAAGCAAUUCAGGGCUGAGGUGAGCUCAAUUGGACUGAUCCAGCAUAUAAACCUAGUCAAAUUGAUUGGUUUCUGCUGCGAAGGCAACCAAAGAUUACUUGUGUAUGAACACAUGUUUAAUGGGUCUCUUGAUGGUCAUCUGUUUAAGAAGAGCAGUGUUGAUGCUGCCGUCCUAAGUUGGAACACCAGGUAUCAGAUAACCCUAGGAGUUGCUAGAGGAUUAUCAUACUUGCAUCAGAGUUGUCGUGAGUGCAUCAUACACUGCGAUAUUAAGCCGGAGAACAUACUUCUGGAUGCAUCAUUUGUUCCUAAAGUUGCAGACUUUGGGCUGGCAGCAUUUGUAGGAAGGGAUUUCAGCAGAAUUCUGACUUCAUUCAGAGGAACUGCAGGUUAUCUUGCCCCAGAGUGGCUUACCGGAGUGGCAAUCACACCGAAAGUUGACGUUUACGGCUUCGGCAUGGUUCUGUUGGAAGUCAUAUCUGGAAGGAGGAAUUCCUCGUCUGAAGAAUCAUACAACACUAGCAGCAGCAGUAACCAGAAUGUUAUAUAUUUCCCUGUUCAAGCCAUCAGCAAGCUUCACGGCGGAGAUUUGAAGAAUUUGGUGGAUCCACAGUUACAUGGUGACUUCAACUUGGAAGAGGCUGAAAGGGUUUGCAAAGUUGCAGGUUGGUGCAUCCAAGAUAAUGAGUUGGAUCGGCCGACAAUGGGUGAAGUGGUCCGGGUUCUCGAGGGUCAACAGGAGAUUGAUGUGCCCCCAAUGCCAAGAUUGCUUGCAGCUGUAACGGAACAAUCUGGUGCUCCAACUUUAAUGUAA